RNAcentral lists this ribosomal RNA (700 nucleotides) under bacterium. Its description in RNAcentral is "bacterial SSU rRNA". It matches the Rfam family "Bacterial small subunit ribosomal RNA", at positions 34 to 714 of the family's 1533-position model. The record is from RNAcentral.
CGGCAAGGGCGGGGUGCUAUACAUGCAAGUCGAGCGGAUUGAUGGGAGCUUGCUCCCUGAUAUCAGCGGCGGACGGGUGAGUAACACGUGGGUAACCUGCCUGUAAGACUGGGAUAACUCCGGGAAACCGGGGCUAAUACCGGAUAACUCAUUUCCUCGCAUGAGGAAAUGUUGAAAGGUGGCUUCUAGCUACCACUUACAAAUGGACCCGCGGCGCAUUACCUAUUUGGUGAGGUAACGGCUCACCAAGGCAACAAUGCGUACCCAACCUGAAAGGGUGAUCGGCCACCCUGGGACUGAAACACGGCCCAAACUCCUACGGAAGGCACCAUUAGGGAAUCUUCCGCAAUGGACAAAAGUCUGACGGACCACCGCCCCGUGAUUGAUGAAGGUUUUCGAAUCGUAAAGCUCUGUUGUUAGGGAAAAACAAUUGCCGUUCAAAUAGGGCGGCACCUUGACGGUACCUAACCAAAAAGCCACGGCUAACUACUUGCCACCACCCGCGGUAAUACUUAGGUGGCAAGCGUUGUCCGGAAUUAUUGGGCGUAAAGCGCGCGCAGGUGGUUCCUUAAUUCUGAUGUGAAAGCCCACGGCUCAACCGUGAAGGGUCAUUGAAAACUGGGGAACUUGAUUGCAGAAAAGGAAAGUGGAAUUCCAAUUGUACCGGUGAAAUGCGUAGAUAUUUGAAGGAACACCAGUG